UUUAGAAUCUUGCACAAUGGGGGCAACCCUGAUGCAGCGACGCCGCGUGAAUGAUGAAGGCCUUCGGGUUGUAAAGUUCAGUAAGCAGGGAAGAAUAAGCAAGAGGUAAUAUUUCUUGUGAUGACGGUACCUGCCUAAAGCCCCGGCUAACUACGUGCCAGCAGCCGCGGUAAUACGUAUGGGGCAAGCGUUGUUCGGAAUUAUUGGGCGUAAAGGGCGUCUAGGCGGGGGAUUAAGUUAUAUGUGAAAGCUAUGGGCUCAACCCAUAAACUGCAUCUAAGACUGGUUCUCUUGAGUCCGGGAGAGGAGAGCGGAAUUCCAGGUGUAGCGGUGAAAUGCGUAGAUAUCUGGAAGAACACCAGUGGCGAAGGCGGCUCUCUGGCCUAGGACUGACGCUGAAGCACGAAAGCGUGGGGAGCGAACA
This 424-nucleotide ribosomal RNA is filed under the name uncultured prokaryote. RNAcentral describes it as "bacterial SSU rRNA". It matches the Rfam family "Bacterial small subunit ribosomal RNA", at positions 355 to 774 of the family's 1533-position model. The record is from RNAcentral.